GUUGGGGAGGUUGGUCUUCGGCAUGUCGCGCAUCAAGUGCACUAUGCAGGGAAGGUUGUCGGUAGGACUUUGCUUGCACUAUCUUCUCCGAGAAAUUGAGAUUAGUGGAUGCAUGGCCCCCCACUGUUCCUCUAGCACCAACAUGUUUCUGCUCCUCUCUGGCUGGACCGAAGUAGUGGAACUAGCUGGAGUAACUGGGCUGGAUGAUUCAGAUCAAGGACCGCCCAUCAUCAGGGCAAGCAGGAGCCGAUCAGAUCCGAGCACCUAUAAAGAAAGCCUGACCAUCAGAGAAUGAGGUAGACAUUCUCCAGCGAUGGGCCCUUCGAUGGUUAAGUCAGUGACAGUUAGAAAAAAAAUGGUAGAAGAGAAAGAAGAUGAUGAGAACGAGAGUCCCUAGUUGAGAAGAAGAAGGAAUCUCUUUUGUUUUUCCCUUUCUCUCCCCUUUUACAGGAGAGAGCUUGUUAAGUGGUUGGCGCCCGUCAGUGUCGAGGCUG
This 494-nucleotide long non-coding RNA is filed under the name Elaeis guineensis (African oil palm). RNAcentral's name for it is "long non-coding RNA (EGUI_LNC032448)". The record is from RNAcentral. Lineage: Eukaryota; Viridiplantae; Streptophyta; Magnoliopsida; Arecales; Arecaceae.